UGCUGGAGCGAAUAGAAGUGAGCAUGCAGGCAUGAGUAGCGAUAAUUAAUGUGAGAAUCAUUAACGCCGUAAACCCAAGGUUUCCUACGCGAUGCUCGUCAUCGUAGGGUUAGUCGGGUCCUAAGCCGAGUCCGAAAGGGGUAGGCGAUGGCAAAUUGGUUAAUAUUCCAAUACCAACAUUAGUGUGCGAUGGAAGGACGCUUAGGGCUAAGGGGGCUAGCGGAUGGAAGUGCUAGUCUAAGGUCGUAGGAGGUUAUACAGGCAAAUCCGUAUAACAAUACUCCGAGAACUGAAAGGCUUUUUGAAGUCUUCGGAUGGAUAGAAGAACCCCUGAUGCCGUCGAGCCAAGAAAAGUUUCUAAGUUUAGCUAAUGUUGCCCGUACCGUAAACCGACACAGGUGGGUGGGAUGAGUAUUCUAAGGCGCGUGGAAGAACUCUCUUUAAGGAACUCUGCAAAAUAGCACCGUAUCUUCGGUA
This 477-nucleotide ribosomal RNA is filed under the name Campylobacter coli. Its description in RNAcentral is "partial 23S ribosomal RNA". It matches the Rfam family "Bacterial large subunit ribosomal RNA", at positions 1271 to 1741 of the family's 2925-position model. The record is from RNAcentral. Lineage: Bacteria; Pseudomonadati; Campylobacterota; Epsilonproteobacteria; Campylobacterales; Campylobacteraceae.